RNAcentral lists this ribosomal RNA (427 nucleotides) under uncultured bacterium. Its description in RNAcentral is "partial 16S ribosomal RNA". It matches the Rfam family "Bacterial small subunit ribosomal RNA", at positions 355 to 774 of the family's 1533-position model. The record is from RNAcentral.
UGGGGAAUAUUGGACAAUGGGCGAAAGCCUGAUCCAGCCAUGCCGCGUGUGUGAAGAAGGACUUCGGAUUGUAAAGCACUUUAAGUUGGGAGGAAGGGCAUUAACCUAAUACGUUAGUGUUUUGACGUUACCGACAGAAUAAGCACCGGCUAACUCUGUGCCAGCAGCCGCGGUAAUACAGAGGGUGCAAGCGUUAAUCGGAAUUACUGGGCGUAAAGCGCGCGUAGGUGGUUUGUUAAGUUGGAUGUGAAAUCCCCGGGCUCAACCUGGGAACUGCAUUCAAAACUGACUGACUAGAGUAUGGUAGAGGGUGGUGGAAUUUCCUGUGUAGCGGUGAAAUGCGUAGAUAUAGGAAGGAACACCAGUGGCGAAGGCGACCACCUGGACUAAUACUGACACUGAGGUGCGAAAGCGUGGGGAGCAAACA